CACUCCUAGAGGUGAGGGGCAGCGGGCCAAAAAAGGAUAGCGUGUCUGACUUGAACGACGCUCGUCCGUGAUUCGCUCUUCCGGUGCCCCUUUCGGACUCCUCACAAUCGUUCAUUCUUUUUCUAUUUCGAACGAAUGGGGGCUUCCUGGUUACGGGGGGACACCCUCCGUGUGUGCGGCAUUUCAGGGUCCAGCACCUCCACUCGGCGUGGGAAGGAGCCAGGCAGUCCCCCUCCCCCUAUCCCCUGAUGAAUGCUGAACCAACUCUGAUAGUGGUAGAGUCAGGUGCCUACGAUGUGAGGAGGUGAGACCGAUGCAUCGCUACUGACGAUGUCGGUUGCCAGGUCACGGAUGGUGUGGCGUCGGAGCGGCCUGCAGCUGUGAGCACGCUUGUGCCACCCAUAUGGCGGGUGAAGCGUCCGUGCGACCCGAGCAUAUGCUACCCACCCACCGGGAGCCCUCGCUGUCUACUGGUUUGGGGUCCCUGAGCCAGCCUGAGGAGGAUUGCACCGCGUGGUGACCGGCAAUGAUGGGGGAGGCUGCGCGGCGACCUGCGAGGCGGGUGGGCGGGUGGAGUUUGGGCCAGAGGCCGUGCUCGGAGGCCUGGGUCGGCGGAUGGCUGUACCGCGUGUCUGCCGCUGCUUCGCAAGACGCGACGCGAGCCUGUGACAGGACCGUGGGGUAGAGCUGAAGUGAGCGGGUGCUGCACGGCAAAGAAUG
Molecule: unclassified non-coding RNA, 720 nt
Filed under: Leishmania donovani
Lineage: Eukaryota; Euglenozoa; Kinetoplastea; Trypanosomatida; Trypanosomatidae
Description: gene:unknown
Source: RNAcentral